Molecule: long non-coding RNA, 235 nt
Filed under: Musa acuminata (dwarf banana)
Lineage: Eukaryota; Viridiplantae; Streptophyta; Magnoliopsida; Zingiberales; Musaceae
Description: long non-coding RNA (MACU_LNC007924)
Source: RNAcentral
UGGUGGCUUGCCCGGAAGGAUUGGAAUCCGAUGGUCAUGUUGCCGUGUAUAGGAGGAAGACCACGCGGCUCAACAAAAAUAUCGACAAAUUCAGCAAGCAAUUAGGCGAGAUUUUGAUCUUCAAUUUCUAUUUUCUUCCCCUCUAGUUGCUGCUGGAGAUGCAUCAAAAAGCCACCAUUUACCUUGUGCAAAACUUUCUCCAUUCGUUGGGUUGAAACAGUGGUUACGUUGCUUC